GGCGGCAUGCCUUACACAUGCAAGUCGAACGGCAGCACGGGAGCAAUCCUGGGUGGCGAGUGGCGAACGGGUGAGUAAUAUAUCGGAACGUGCCCGGUCGUGGGGGAUAACGUAGCGAAAGCUACGCUAAUACCGCAUACGAUCUACGGAUGAAAGCGGGGGAUCGCAAGACCUCGCGCGAUUGGAGCGGCCGAUAUCAGAUUAGGUAGUUGGUGAGGUAAAGGCUCACCAAGGCGACGAUCUGUAGCUGGUCUGAGAGGACGACCAGCCACACUGGGACUGAGACACGGCCCAGACUCCUACGGGAGGCAGCAGUGGGGAAUUUUGGACAAUGGGCGCAAGCCUGAUCCAGCAAUGCCGCGUGCAGGAUGAAGGCCUUCGGGUUGUAAACUGCUUUUGUACGGAACGAAACGGUGAGCUCUAAUACAGCUUGCUAAUGACGGUACCGUAAGAAUAAGCACCGGCUAACUACGUG
Molecule: ribosomal RNA, 475 nt
Filed under: uncultured bacterium
Lineage: Bacteria
Description: bacterial SSU rRNA
Rfam family: Bacterial small subunit ribosomal RNA
Source: RNAcentral